UAACAAAACAAUAAAGAAAACAAAAGAGCAUAAGAACACAAGAUUUACGUAGUUCGGUCAAUCAUGAGUCGACCUACGUCCACGGGUAAGACCACCGCAAUAUUUUCUUCCACUAAUUCACCGCACAAAAAAUACAAAAAAAAUAGAUUGGAUUACAAAAAACUCUCUCUUAGAAGCUCUCCACGUUUUCCUCUCAUCUAGGAUAUUUUCA
Molecule: long non-coding RNA, 211 nt
Filed under: Ananas comosus (pineapple)
Lineage: Eukaryota; Viridiplantae; Streptophyta; Magnoliopsida; Poales; Bromeliaceae
Description: long non-coding RNA (ACOM_LNC032846)
Source: RNAcentral